RNAcentral lists this ribosomal RNA (552 nucleotides) under Moesziomyces rugulosus. RNAcentral's name for it is "LSU rRNA". It matches the Rfam family "Eukaryotic large subunit ribosomal RNA", at positions 116 to 649 of the family's 3401-position model. Lineage: Eukaryota; Fungi; Basidiomycota; Ustilaginomycetes; Ustilaginales; Ustilaginaceae. The record is from RNAcentral.
UGAAAGCUGGCGUCUUCGGCGUCCGCAUUGUAAUCUCAAGAAGUGUUUUCCGCUUCGGACCAAGCCUAAGUCCCUUGGAAAAGGGCAUCAUAGAGGGUGAUAAUCCCGUACAUGGCUUGGAGCGCCCGAAGCUUUGUGAUACGCUUUCUAAGAGUCGAGUUGUUUGGGAAUGCAGCUCAAAAUGGGUGGUAAAUUCCAUCUAAGGCUAAAUAUUGGGGAGAGACCGAUAGCGAACAAGUACAGUGAUGGAAAGAUGAAAAGAACUUUGAAAAGAGAGUUAAACAGUACGUGAAAUUGCCAAAAGGGAAGGGUAGGAGGUCAGAGAUGCGGCCUGGGAUUCAGCCUUGCUUUUGCUUGGUGUUUUUCCCAGAUUGCAGGCCAACGUCGGUUUUGGGCACUGGAGAAGGGUAGGAGGAACGUGGCACCUCUCGGGGUGUGUUAUAGCCUCCUACUGGAUACAGCGACCGAGACCGAGGACAGCAGCGUACUCGCAAGAGCGGGCCUUCGGGCACCUUUACGCUUAGGGCGUUGGCAUAAUGGCCCUCUACCACC